RNAcentral lists this ribosomal RNA (253 nucleotides) under uncultured bacterium. RNAcentral's name for it is "partial 16S ribosomal RNA". It matches the Rfam family "Bacterial small subunit ribosomal RNA", at positions 524 to 776 of the family's 1533-position model. The record is from RNAcentral.
UACGUAGGGGGCUAGCGUUGUCCGGAAUCAUUGGGCGUAAAGCGCGUGUAGGCGGUCCGGUAAGUCCGCUGUGAAAGUCGGGGGCUCAACCCUCGGAAGUCGGUGGAUACUGUCGGGCUCGAGUACGGAAGAGGCGAGUGGAAUUCCUGGUGUAGCGGUGAAAUGCGCAGAUAUCAGGAGGAACACCAAUUGCGAAGGCAGCUCGCUGGGACGUAACUGACGCUGAGACGCGAAAGCGUGGGGAGCAAACAGG